RNAcentral lists this ribosomal RNA (673 nucleotides) under uncultured Bacteroidales bacterium. Its description in RNAcentral is "bacterial SSU rRNA". It matches the Rfam family "Bacterial small subunit ribosomal RNA", at positions 63 to 733 of the family's 1533-position model. Lineage: Bacteria; Pseudomonadati; Bacteroidota; Bacteroidia; Bacteroidales. The record is from RNAcentral.
CAUCGGGAAGAAAGCUUGCUUUCUUUGCCGGCGACCGGCGCACGGGUGAGUAACACGUAUCCAACCUGCCCUUUACUCGGGGAUAGCCUUUCGAAAGAAAGAUUAAUACCCGAUAGCAUAAUGAUUCCGCAUGGUUUCAUUAUUAAAGGAUUCCGGUAAAGGAUGGGGAUGCGUUCCAUUAGGUUGUUGGUGAGGUAACGGCUCACCAAGCCUUCGAUGGAUAGGGGUUCUGAGAGGAAGGUCCCCCACAUUGGAACUGAGACACGGUCCAAACUCCUACGGGAGGCAGCAGUGAGGAAUAUUGGUCAAUGGGCGCUAGCCUGAACCAGCCAAGUAGCGUGAAGGAUGAAGGCUCUAUGGGUCGUAAACUUCUUUUAUAUAAGAAUAAAGUGCAGUAUGUAUACUGUUUUGUAUGUAUUAUAUGAAUAAGGAUCGGCUAACUCCGUGCCAGCAGCCGCGGUAAUACGGAGGAUCCGAGCGUUAUCCGGAUUUAUUGGGUUUAAAGGGAGCGUAGGUGGACUGGUAAGUCAGUUGUGAAAGUUUGCGGCUCAACCGUAAAAUUGCAGUUGAUACUGUCAGUCUUGAGUACAGUAGAGGUGGGCGGAAUUCGUGGUGUAGCGGUGAAAUGCUUAGAUAUCACGAAGAACUCCGAUUGCGAAGGCAGCUCACUGGA